GUCUCAGUGAUGCUCGACUAUAUUGGUCCCAUCGACGUAAUUAACCUCUGGCUGCUGCAAAGAGGGAAAACAAAAGGUUAGGUAUUAAUAAGGCUAUAUGCCAUGUGGGUGCAUAACCCCUGGUAUAUU
This 129-nucleotide ribosomal RNA is filed under the name Carijoa sp. Cr066. RNAcentral's name for it is "partial 16S ribosomal RNA". Lineage: Eukaryota; Metazoa; Cnidaria; Anthozoa; Malacalcyonacea; Carijoidae. RNAcentral also lists the same sequence under 1 other name. The record is from RNAcentral.